This 253-nucleotide ribosomal RNA is filed under the name uncultured bacterium. RNAcentral describes it as "partial 16S ribosomal RNA". It matches the Rfam family "Bacterial small subunit ribosomal RNA", at positions 524 to 776 of the family's 1533-position model. The record is from RNAcentral.
UACGAAGGGGGCUAGCGUUGCUCGGAAUCACUGGGCGUAAAGGGCGCGUAGGCGGCCUGUUAAGUCGAACGUGAAAGCCCCGGGCUCAACCUGGGAAUUGCAUUCGAGACUGCAUAGCUAGGGUGCGGAAGAGGGAAGCGGAAUUUCCGGUGUAGCGGUGAAAUGCGUAGAUAUCGGAAGGAACACCAGUGGCGAAAGCGGCUUCCUGGUCCAGCACCGACGUUCAGGCACGAAAGCGUGGGGAGCAAACAGG